CCCAACUAUCCCUAUUAAUCAUUACGUCGAUCCUAGAAACCAACAAAAUAGGUUCGAUCGUCCUAUUUCGUUAUUCCAUGCUAAUGUAUUCAAGCGCGAGCCUGCUUUAAGCACUCUAAUUUUUUCAAAGUAACAGUCCUGUUUCCCCGCAACAACAAAUUAAUGCCAUCACGGUUCUACAAGAAGGAGGGACCAGUGAGGCCAGUAGGUUGGUCGUGCCACUGGUAUGCACUGGCCCCGAAAUUCAACUACGAGCUUUUUAACUGCAACAACUUUAAUAUACGCUAUUGGAGCUGGAAUUACCGCGGCUGCUGGCACCAGACUUGCCCUCCAA
Molecule: unclassified non-coding RNA, 334 nt
Filed under: uncultured Glomerales
Lineage: Eukaryota; Fungi; Glomeromycota; Glomeromycetes; Glomerales; Glomeraceae
Description: sequence contains 18S rRNA gene
Source: RNAcentral